UGGGUCCUUAGCUCAGCUGGGAGAGCGCCUGCUUCGCAUGCAGGAGGUCGUCGGUUCAAAUCCGGUAGGAUCCAU
Molecule: transfer RNA, 75 nt
Filed under: Levilactobacillus namurensis
Lineage: Bacteria; Bacillati; Bacillota; Bacilli; Lactobacillales; Lactobacillaceae
Description: tRNA-Ala(cgc)
Rfam family: tRNA
About the family: Transfer RNA (tRNA) molecules are approximately 80 nucleotides in length. Their secondary structure includes four short double-helical elements and three loops (D, anti-codon, and T loops). Further hydrogen bonds mediate the characteristic L-shaped molecular structure. tRNAs have two regions of fundamental functional importance: the anti-codon, which is responsible for specific mRNA codon recognition, and the 3' end, to which the tRNAs corresponding amino acid is attached (by aminoacyl-tRNA synthetases). tRNAs cope with the degeneracy of the genetic code in two manners: having more than one tRNA (with a specific anti-codon) for a particular amino acid; and 'wobble' base-pairing, i.e. permitting non-standard base-pairing at the 3rd anti-codon position.
Source: RNAcentral